RNAcentral lists this non-coding RNA (26 nucleotides) under Homo sapiens (human). The record is from RNAcentral. Lineage: Eukaryota; Metazoa; Chordata; Mammalia; Primates; Hominidae.
UGGUGGUCUAGGCUUCAGUGGAGUUG